GGCGCAUUCGUCUAGCGGCCUAGGACACCUCCCUCUCAAGGAGGAGAUCAGGGGUUCGAAUCCCCUAUGCGCUACCA
This 77-nucleotide transfer RNA is filed under the name Pseudomonadota bacterium. RNAcentral describes it as "tRNA-Glu". It matches the Rfam family "tRNA". From Rfam's summary of the family: Transfer RNA (tRNA) molecules are approximately 80 nucleotides in length. The record is from RNAcentral. Lineage: Bacteria; Pseudomonadati; Pseudomonadota. RNAcentral also lists the same sequence under 1 other name.